This 484-nucleotide ribosomal RNA is filed under the name uncultured bacterium. Its description in RNAcentral is "partial 16S ribosomal RNA". It matches the Rfam family "Bacterial small subunit ribosomal RNA", at positions 29 to 507 of the family's 1533-position model. The record is from RNAcentral.
AUUGAACGCUGGCGGCAUGCUUUACACAUGCAAGUCGAACGGCAGGGCGGGCUUCGGCUUGGGGGCGAGUGGGGAACGGGGGAGUAAAACAUCGGAAUGUGCCCAGCAGUGGGGGAUAGCACGGCGAAAGCCGGAUUAAUACCGCAUACGACGUGCGGGUGAAAGCGGGGGAUCUUCGGAACUCGCGCUAUUGGAGGGGCGGAUGGCAGGUUAGUUAGUUGGUGGGGUAAAGGCCUACCAAGGCGACGAUUUGUAGCUGGUCUGAGAGGACGACCAGCCACACUGGGACUGAGCCACGGCCCAUACUCCUACGGGAGGCAGCAGUGGGGAAUUUUGGACAAUGGGCGAAAGCCUGAUCCAGCAAUGCCGCGUGUGUGAUGAAGGCCUUCGGUUUGUAAAGCACUUUUGGCGGGAACGAAAAGGACUGUGCCAAUACCACGGUUCGAUGACGGUACCCGCAGAAUAAGCACCGGCUAACUACGUG